GUUUUAAUAAUUUAAAUAAAAUGUUGGUCUUGUAAACCAAAAAUAAGAUUAUUCUUUUAAAACU
Molecule: transfer RNA, 64 nt
Filed under: Cybister brevis
Lineage: Eukaryota; Metazoa; Arthropoda; Insecta; Coleoptera; Dytiscidae
Description: tRNA-Thr
Rfam family: tRNA
About the family: Transfer RNA (tRNA) molecules are approximately 80 nucleotides in length. Their secondary structure includes four short double-helical elements and three loops (D, anti-codon, and T loops).
Source: RNAcentral